This 2320-nucleotide ribosomal RNA is filed under the name human gut metagenome. Its description in RNAcentral is "bacterial LSU rRNA". It matches the Rfam family "Bacterial large subunit ribosomal RNA", at positions 306 to 2510 of the family's 2925-position model. The record is from RNAcentral.
CCCGGGCGCAGGUCCGGCUGGGGAGCGGAACGGCAUGGGAGGGCCGGCCGCAGCGGGUGACAGCCCCGUACGCGAACCCAGACCGGACGGCGCGACGCGGUCCCUGAGUAGGGCCGGGCACGUGAAACCCGGUCCGAACCUGGGUGGACCACCAUCCAAGCCUGAGUACUACCCUGUGACCGAUAGCGCACCAGUACCGUGAGGGAAAGGUGAAAAGCACCCCGGGAGGGGAGUGAAACAGUACCUGAAACCGUGCGCCCACGAGCAGUCGGAGCACCUAUACGGUGUGACGGCGUGCCUUUUGUAGAAUGAGCCAGCGAGUCGCUGGCGCGGGGCGAGGUUAACCGAAAGGGAGCCGGAGCGAAAGCGAGCCUUAACAGGGCGACUUGAGUCCCGCGCCGCGGACGCGAAGCCGGGUGAGCUAUCCGUGGGCAGGCUGAAGCGGGGGUAAGACCCCGUGGAGGGCCGAACGCACGUCGGUUGAAAACGGCGGCGAUGACCUGCGGAUAGGGGUGAAAGGCCAAUCAAACCCGGAGAUAUCUCGUUCUCCCCGAAAUAGCUUUAGGGCUAGCCUCGGGCGUUUACCAUGGGGGGUAGAGCACUGGACUGCAGCGGGGGCCUCACCGCCUACCAACGCAGACCAAACUCCGAAUACCCAUGGUCCACAGCCCGGGAGUCAGAACAUGUGGGCUAAGCUGUGUGUUCGAAAGGGAAACAGCCCAGACCGUCGUCUAAGGUCCCGAAGCGUGUGCUAAGUGGGAAAGGAUGUGGAGUCGCAUAGACAGCCAGGAGGUUGGCUCAGAAGCAGCCAUCCUUGAAAGAGUGCGUAACAGCUCACUGGUCUAGUGGUUCCGCGCCGACAAUGUAGCGGGGCUCAAGCACACCACCGAAGACGCGGCAGUAUUUUGUACUGGGUAGGAGAGCGUCCCAUGAGGGGCGAAGCGGCCGUGUGAACGCGCCGUGGACUUCAUGGGAGUGAGAAUGCAGACAUGAGUAGCGAGAGACGGGUGAAGAUCCCGUCCGCUGGAUGACCAAGGGUUCCGGGGCCACGUUCGUCGUCCCCGGGUGAGUCGGGUCCUAAGGCGAGGCCGACAGGCGUAGUCGAAUGGAUGAACGGGUGGAUAUUCCCGUACCGACCAUGGACCGGCAAAACCGAGACGGUGAGUACUAACCUCCGCCUCGUGGUGGUUCCUUCCUUCGGGUUGGUAUCGCCGCGUGGCGUUGGGACUGUAGCCGCAGUAGGUCAGCGCAGGGGUGACACGGAAUGGGAGCCGGCCGCGGAGGUGGUUUUCCGUGGUCAAGCACGCAGCCAGUCAUGUAGGCAAAUCCGCAUGGCGUGCAUGGCGAGGUGUGAUGAUGGGAGCCUUUUGGGCUCGAUAUCCGGUUGUCCAGGCCGUCGAGAAAAGCCUCGGCGUGAGGGCCAUGGCCGCCCGUACCCCAAACCGACACUGGUGGUCAGGUAGAGAAUACCAAGGCGAUCGAGCGAAUCCUGGUCAAGGAACUCGGCAAAUCACUCCCGUGCCUUCGGUAUAAGGGAGACCCACUGGGGUGAAGGACCUUGCGUCCGGAGCUUUGGUGGGUGGCACAGACCAGGGGGUAGCGACUGUUUACCAAAAACACAGGUGCAUGCGAAGGCGAAAGCCGCUGUAUAUGCACUGACGCCUGCCCGGUGCCGGAAGGUUAAGAGGAUCCGUCAAUCCCUUCGGGGACGAAGCGGUGAAUUCAAGCCCCGGUAAACGGCGGUGGUAACUAUAACCAUCCUAAGGUAGCGAAAUUCCUUGUCGGGUAAGUUCCGACCUGCACGAAUGGCGUAACGACUUCCCCACUGUCUCGACCAGGAGCUCGGCGAAAUUGCAGUACGAGUAAAGAUGCUCGUUAAGCGCAGAAGGACGAAAAGACCCCGGGACCUUUACUAUACCUUGGUAUUGGCGUUAGGCGCGGAUUGUGUAGCAUAGGCGGGAGGCUUCGAAGCGUGGGCGCCAGCUCAUGUGGAGCCGCAAGGUGAAAUACCGCUCUGUUCUCGUUUGACGUCUAACCUCGACAAGUCAUCCUUGUCAGGGACAGUGCCUGGCGGGUAGUUCAACUGGGGCGGUUGCCUCCCAAAGAGUAACGGAGGCGCUCAAAGGUCCGCUCAGCCCGGUUGGCAAUCGGGUGUCGAGUGUAAUCGCACAAGCGGGCUUGACUGCGAGGACGACGGUCCGAGCAGGGACGAAAGUCGGAGAUAGUGAUCCGGUGCCGGCGCACGGGCGCGGCAUCGCUCAACGGAUAAAAGGUACUCCGGGGAUAACAGGCUGAUCAUUCCCAAGAGUCCAUAUCGACG